UCAACAAAUAUGUGGGACAAGUUAUACGUCGAACAACUAUAUGAUCACGUCCACUCAAUCAUAUGUUUUUCUUUCCUUUUCUAAAAGUAUGAAAUUGCAGAUAUUGAUUACGUUUCAAGUUGAGAUUUUUUUCAAUUGCAGCGUGAUCAACAAAACCGAUUAAUUCGAGACACAGCGAGAGAUCUGAAAGUAAAGCGUUCACCUUCCUUCGUGUUCAAAUUAUAACGAGAAGAACUGGGUCAACUCGCUGUGCAGGUGCACGACUGUGUUUCGUCCAUCAUCGAUACACAUCCCUUUUGUCGUUCCCGUAUCGAUUCGCGAGCGCACACGAACCCUUUAUGUUCAACAUCUUUUUGCUUUUUUCUUCGUACUGUUUGUGUUCCAAGAAAGUAUUUAUACAUAAAAGAUAGCUGGUACAAAUAUUAUACUAAACAUAAGAGAUUUAUGAAAUACAAAGGAGAAGUUUAUUAGGUAAUACAUGUAAUAAUUGGAACUGGAAACAAUUAAAAAAUAACCUCAAAAGAUAUGUACAGUGUCUCGUGUUUGCAGGAUUGCCACUACAUAAAUAGUAAAUUUUACGCGGGUUAAUUUAAACUGCUUCGAAAUUAAUCUAUCCGACAUGUAUCUGAAAAUGAACCAAGCUAAUCGAACGAGAUAAAAAUGUAAAUGCAAAUCUUCACGCUGUGCCGGGCAGCGUUUUAUUUAAUUAAGAGCAUUACCGUCCGAAAUCUCGUAUUGAUGUUGAAAUCUACCAAAAAGCGGCACAGACAUGCGAAACACCUACACACUGGGAUACGCAAUACAUGGCCGAGUAUUUUCCUGUUUAUUAUUAAAAUAUUCCGCCUCGUUACGUGACGGCUGAUACCGGGUUGUGGUGUAUCCUGUGAUACAGUAUAUGAUAGAAAUUAUUUCGUCGCUAAUCGAGUGAAUUACAUAUUGCCUUCGAGUGUUUCAUUAAUUACCGUAAAUCGAGCGACGUAAAAUAGUCUGAAGCACAUCCGCGAUCCAAUGAAAUUUCACGUAUCCCUUUACGCCAUCUUUCUGCCAGCGAGCACAUUUAAAAUCAAUCUGUGUACCGGUUCAACCAUAAAUCGCAUAUCGAUUUUCGUAGCCGUAAUUCGAUCAAAGAUCCCUGUUUACCCUGCGCGAUAUGCAACGUUCAUUCGAUUAAAACGAGCGAGGUGUGUAUAUCAUGAGCAACAACGUUCUAGAUAUAUAAAGAAGGGGAAAAGCAAAAAAUAAAGCGAAGAAAAAGAAGAAGUUACGUAGAGUGAAUGAAAUUCGUUGGCAACCCCACUCUGCCCAUGGAUGCACACAUACGCGAAACAAUCGUUUCGCGCAGUGUCAAGGUAACGACGCGACGGUAUCGCUGAGCAAUUAUAAACGCGGAAAAAAAAAAGAAAAAAGAAAAACAGAUUGUACGAACAGGUAACAAAAAACAAGAAAGAGAGAAAUGUUUGGAGGUAAAAAAAGAAAAGAAAAAUUAGGUCGCGAGUCAGUUUCGCUCGAUUGAAGUCGGUUGAUAUCUGUCUGUCGUGCGCGCAUCGUCGAAAUUCGCCCGUCGAUUUUCACCAGUAGUGAAUAUAUCCGUGAGAAGAGGGGUGGCCCGAGCAUUACCGGUUGAACUCUCUGUUGACGGAUCACGUGGCAGAAUUCAGGCAUCUCCGUUGGCACCGGCAGCCGAGCUGAUUUAUUGAGUGGCGUGGCAUUGCUGACCUCACUCUCGCUACGGCUAACGACACUAAGAGAGCUCUUGGUAAUCUGCCGAAUGCCAACGAUAUCUACCCAAGUCAAAAUUAUAUGCCCGUGCAACGGAUUUAGCUCAUUCAGCUACCGAAUCUCUCUCUCUCUCUCUCUCUCUCACUUUCCCUAUUAAAAUCUUUUUUUCUCUCCCUAAAGGCUUUUUGAUUUAUUUACAGAGUCGUGGUUUCUUUCGUCACAUCGAUCAUUAAAGAAUUGAAUAUUAUGGCGCAACGGAUGAUUUCUUGUUUGAAAAUUGGACUCAAAGUUUUGCGAAAGAUACGCAUGACUAUUCCGAACCGAGUAAAUUAAUUUGUACUGUAUUGGAGAACUGGAAUAUUUUUGGAGCAUACCAAGGAACGAAUACUCCGAGAGUUUUACAUAAAGGUUUAAGUCAUGUGAGUAAGUGAUUCUUCAACUACUUUGAUCAGCGAACAAAUACAUGUUCCUCACUCAAACCUGUUUCCAGCUCCAAAUUAUUUUUUCGAGGGAUCAUCAGCGCGUGUAACAGCGUACGACAAGUGAUUCGCUAUAAAUCAACGUUCACAGUUUCACAGAGUCACAUUAAGGCCACUGGUGAUGUGUCAAGUAUUAUUUGUAAAUGAUCCUUAUAAUAGCCAGUUACAGUAACUGGCUCCGGUCGAAGGAUUAUUGGAGCACAAAAAUGAGCUGUAACUUGGAAAUAAGGUCAAAUAUCUCACAGGUUAACUACAUACGUACUACAUUGUACGAUGUAGUAAAUUAAACAUAAAGAGCAUCCUCAAUCCGAUGACGUAUCGUUUGUGUAUCUCGAGUCCAAGAAUAAUUGUUGAUUACGUAUGAAGAUAAUCAACACACUCCUAAUCAAUGCUCGAUAUGUGUACGUGCACGUAAUACAUCCUUUUUUCAAUGAAUAUGUAGUUAAUCGAUAAACCUCGAUGCUCUCUACCAUUGUAAGGAAAGAAAAGUUAUACGAAAUAAGUCUAUUUCUAAUUAGAAAUUUCGCUUGAUCAUCGUUGUAAAUAUGUAAUGAGAUUAUCAUGAAAUCAUUGCGACCAAUGAACUUGUUUUAUUAUAACCGUACACUAUGCAUAGAAAGCCACAUAUAUAUUUACACGCGCCCAUUGUAUGUAUAAUUGUGUUGUCGUGUGAAAAGACUGUUCUUACGUAACGAACUCGGCAAGCUCGACGUGACACUGACCUCACUCUAAAUCCAUAAGUGGCUGUUAAUUAUCGAUUGGCAACGAUUUCAACGAUUUCACCAAUGGAGGAUGAGAGUAGAACCGAAGAAGGGUGAGAUGAAGGAGGAUGGGGAAAAGCCAAUACACAGAGUGGCCUGCUAAUCAGUCCGCUCCGAUAUCGCAAUAUGUGGGAUACGCUCGGUUGAUUUUCAACACGACGAGUUUACCCUAACGUAAUUAAUGUCCGUCGUACAAUGUGACGCGUAACGACAAAUUCGAACGACGUCGCUAUUCAUAGAAAGAGAGGAGAGAGAGAAAGAGAAAGAGAGGAGAGAGAGAAAGAGAAAGAGAGGAGAAGAGAGUAGGAGAAAAGAAAAGAUUACCGGUGAUCGUGUGCACGGUCUACAAAGUCAAUGCGAUUCCAUUCACCCAUCGUGCUUCCAUGUCCCGUGAACGAGACGAACGGCUUGCCUUGCCAUAACGGUCUAGAUGAAUUUAUAACUAAAUGAUGCAUCAGACACACAAAUACAACGAAUACAUCGUGCCCGUUUUGUAAUGGUCUAGAGCUAGCAGAUCUUUAAUUGCUGGCUCGUAGACAGAAUGUGACCCGAUUGUGUGCGUUACAGCGACCUUUCGAGGCGCCGCGGUUGAUUAUAGGCUGCUCAAAAUAAUUAAUCGAUCGUUUACUUUGAUUAUAUCGUUCAGAUAUAUUCGUCUGGAGAACCUUGAUGUCUCUUAAAUAUUAGAACUGAAUUUAAGCAAUUUAACAGAUAUCACUUUGCGAUUUAAUUUUUUCUUAACGAAUAGCACUUAAAUUAUACGGCAAAAUUAUCCGACACCUCGGAUUUUAUUUUCAGAUGUAUUUUAAGAGAUCCUCGUAUUUUAAGUGCAGGCAAAAAAUGUCCUGUAUUCAAACGAAAGGAUAUUGUUAGCAAAAGCUCGAUAGUCAUACGAUUUUAAGAGUGUCUCAAAAUACAUACUGUUCGCUUCAUUUAAGCAACAGUGGAAGAUUACUUUGAGCAAUGCAACCGAACACGAAGCGGAUAGGCGAGAACGGUGUAGGAUACACGUUCGUUUCAGAAGCGAGCUGUGUAUCAUCAUCAUCAUGCACGGUCGAGUGGAUCAUUUUUCAUUUAUGCGCGCCGGAUAAUGUGUAUCAUUGAAUAUGUCACUAAUUGCUCGACAGGAGGAUAAACAUUUUUUGCGGAGAUAAAUUAAACGGUCGCGACGCUGGACAAGAUAAUUAAGUAUUACGCCGAAGAACGUAAGGGCACGAUCAGAGGAAACGACGACGACAACAGCGGCGGUCAGCCUCCAGUCAAGAGAAGGAAGGGAGAAAACACGUCGGAUAAGAAAGAAUCUGUGGUAAGGACAAUCACCCGGGAGAGGUCGAACGAUCCCUGUAUGUUGCGAGACGACGAAAAAGUCCAAAAGGAUUUCCCCACGGCGCAACCAGCAAUUUGAAAAAGAAAACCAUCGACGCGUGCAUUCCCGAUUCAGAGGAUUUUUCAAAAGCUGGCACGUUACACCGAGCCUCCGAACCAUGUGCUUUUGUGUUUAUGACGAAGAAAUUUUAUACGCUCAAAUUAACCUGCGGAUCUCGUGCGUCUUGUGUACGAUGUCUAGCGUUCUGCAUGUUCUCGAUAACAAAAACUACAUUUUUCCAAUUGUUCAAAGCUCGCUUAAAGAGACGAGAAAAAAGUGACGUUUAACUAAUCUUUAAAGUGAAGCAGCGUGUAGAAAUAAAUUAGCAUUCUAUCAUUGGAAACGAGCAGUUGGAAGAAUAUCAUAGAAAAUAUGAGCAAUCUGGCGGAUAUUUCAGAUUCAUCUCAGGUCAAAGCGUUGGUAAUAGAGCAUUAAAAAGGGUCUGGUUUUUAUUCCCACGGCUUUUCAUAAUUAGUCGUCGUCGUCGUCGUCUGCCGGAAUAGCGAUGCAUAUCUCGCUCUCCGCUAAUUGUUUGACACCGAAUCAACAUCCUGCCGUGGCGUUUACAUUUCAAAUCGCCUUACUCGUAGCUCCCGGGAGCAGAUAACAAGGUAUCUAGUAACGCGAAUACCAAGCCUGAUAAUUCAUUUACUACCAGGUAACGAUUUCUUACAUUUAAUUAGCGAAGGAUUGUGCUUUACUAAUAGAGUGAGAAAAAUUUGGCUCUCAAAUUGGCUUCUAAUUAGACAGAAAAGACAAGAAAAGAAUAGAAAAGAUGUACAUAAAGUAUAUAAAAUAAAUAUAGAUGAAUACACGUAUCGCGUUACGAUCGGACAAGAUUGGUAAGCGAAGAUCUGGUAAGCAUUUCCUGCUAAGCGUUGCGCAGCUUACAGCUGUUCUGCACCGUCCAGAAGCUCAGGUUGGAGCGCGAACUCGUUCAGGAACAAGAGGGACCGGUUUAAGCGGUUUACAUCGCGGCUACUUUCUCCGUGACAAUAACAAUGCACUUUGUGCUUUGAUAAUGCACAAGAUGGACGAGUAAAUAACAAGUAUGCCUCCGUGAACGUCUUUUUCUUUCGAGACGUGCGACAUUACCACGGUUCGGGAACCAGAUUUGCGCGAUGGAAUUACAGUGACCAAAUACGUAAGGAGGGAAAAGUAUGAUGUUACUUUUUCAUUAAUUUAAAGAAAACUUCUUUUUAUCGUUGUUUGAUUUCUAAUAUGAAGAUAGGAAAUAAUUUAUUAAAUGCGCGAAUUAAGUAAUUACCCAAUCAAACGAGGUGAUUAUAUCACCUAUAAUCAUGCGUACAACUAUGUCAUUUUCUCUAUAAAUCUGUUACUUUCAGUAGCGUAGUUCCAGCAGAUAAAGCGAAGCAGAAAUUAAAGUAGCGGAUCCUACUAGAAAUUUCUCGAGCAUUAUCAUAUCUGUAAAUUAACAAGUUGAAUGCCAUGGGGGUCAUUAGUGACCGGCACUUAACUUUGCCGUGGGAGUCACCAGUGACCGACGCACCAAGAUUAGUAGAAAUACAUAAUUUGAACAAAUGUCAAUAGUUAUAAAUUUUGUAUUAUUAUCAUCAUUACUACAAUGGUGUGACGAAAUUAAUGCAGUAUGAAACAUAUAAAAAUAAUUUUAUUUAUACAUGAAAUAUAAAUCUAUUAUGUGCGUUUUCCUCCAGUGGCUGUCGAACAUGGAAAACCUCGCUUUUACCUUAGUGAAUAAUAGCCCUAAGAAACAUUUCGAAAUUUGAAAGAUAUAUGAUGGCAAUUAAGGGUCCUGACAUUAAAUGUCAGGCUAAAAUUUAGGCAAUGCUAAAUCUUUAAGUCAAGUUUCUUUAGAAUUAUCGCAGUUUCGAAUAGGUAUGACCGAGGGAUGGAUUAUGGUAAGUCCCGGGACGUAACAACAGAGAACUAUUUAGCAUUGUUAUUUAGAAUAAUUUCUAUAUAUUUAGAAUUAUUUAUAUAUUUUUAGCGCUAUUUAGAAUUAUUUAGCAAUGCGAAGAGACAAUAUGAGAUAAUUGAUAAUCGCAAAAAAUACGGCGACCUCAGUGAGAUAAAUUCAUUAAUGAUGACUAUGCACAGUAACAUACCUCUUGUAGGUAAUUUCAACAUUAUAUAUAUCGCAUAAUAAAAAAUUCAUUGUGGCACCAAGGUCAAACCUUGUAAAACUGGCGUGACAUUCAACUUGUUAAUAAUAAUAUGAUCAGCUGAUAUGGGUGAAGCAAAUGCUAUUUCUGCUAAAAAUAAUAUCAUACUUUGCCUAAAAUCGCUUAUAGUAAGAAACAAUAACAAGCGUAGAAAAUUUGCAUUCGUUACGCGUCGAGUUUCUUUUUCUUUAUCUUCUUCUUUGUAUGUGUCUUUCUGUUUCGCGAUUGCGGCGAUUUAUACCUGUGUCGUUGAUGUUUCAGUUCGGUCAAAACCAAUUGUCUUCGUUUCGUGAUUCUAACGCAGCGUACAAACUACAUUGGGAUGUGAGUUAUUAUGAGACAAGUGAAUGAGUAAUAAAUGAGUAAACGGUGAGAGUAAGCGAGCAAAUGGUAAAUAUUAGUGAUUUAUGUCUGCAAGCAAUAAAGGUCCACUAGGUACUUUCUCGUUUUGUCUCAUUUUCUUUUAUUUUUCAGGUAGAAAAGAAAUUUACUCAUCCGAUAAGAAGAAAGUGGGAGACGAAAGGUCCAAACUAUUUGAACACUUUUCCUUCACAUUAUGCGAUCUGUACUUUGUCCAAGAAUGAUUAACAGGCCGUCUUCAGAGUCUCUUUUACGACUCCCAGUCGGGGUUCCUUUAUGCGAUAACAAUACGCUUAAUAACGUAAAAAAUAGACUUAGAUAAUUCGACAGUAGUUUGCAUGACGAACUCGCUAAGAGAAUACAAUGUUCCAUCGCUAUUGUCUCUACGAUUCGUACGUGACAGUUUGACCUCUGCAUACAAUUCUCCCGCUGCGAUUUCUGAACGAAUAGUUGUUUUCAUUUAAAAGAGACCAAUAGAACAAUGAAUCAUAAUGUACAUUAUGCUUCGAUUUCGAAACAUUGCAUAUGAUGACCCUGUUAUUUUCCGGUGACUGUGUUUGAUUGUUCCAUGAUUAUUUUUAUAAAAGCGGCUGGCAUAAUGUUUCAUUUCAUAGAACCACCAGGUUUAAUUUACCAGCGUUCCAAUUCUCAUAGAUACGAUGGCAAAUGUUCGUUCGUUUAUACGCAGAUUUCAUGAUUGUUUAUCGACAAUUUCAUGGUUUUUUAUACAUACAUUAUCCGUUCGAAAAUGAAACGAAUAAUACGUAUUUAGGAAGAACCAUUACAUCAUUACGAUUUCGCGAUGAAAGCAAUUGGAGGUCAUCUACUGAUACGGUAGAGAAGCAGAGAUAAUAGUUUCUUUUUCCGAACAAUCUGCAUCGCAAAUGAUCGACGGUAUCUGUUUGUUUCGCAUUGGAAAACAGUGUUAUGCUUUGCAAUUUGCGCGAAGGAAAAUGGUCAAAACGCGAUAGGCUAGUCGACCGAUUGACAUUGCUGCUUUUAUUUAUCAAUGAAAAUUAUAGCUCGUUAACGAAGACGAGCGUGUCAGUCGAGUUGGUAUCGCAGUGUACGGUAAAAAUAGCGAUUAGCGAUUGCGUUCGCGAUAAAUCAUGAUAAAAGGUGCUAUGUAGUGGCGUGAAAGAGCUUUCGCUGCCUCGUAGACGCAAUGUAACACCACUAGCGUUGCUUCUUUUUUUGGCUCACGCCGACUAGAGAUAAUAAGUUCGAUUUAUGUUCACUUCGAUGUAUCGUCGAUAAGGCCCUGCGUAAUUAAAGCCUUCUAUUUCGAAAUAAUCUUGAUUGGCGUACACCAGCCUUUUCCGCCGUACUCGAACUCGUUUUCAAACGGCGUUUAUGCUUCAGUAAUUUCAAUCAUAUUUUCCGGAUUAUACACCUUGUUCCAAAUAUUCGCCUAAUUGUGCGAAACAAAUCGUAUUUUCGGCCAAAAUAUUUGUAUACUUCUUACUUAAUUAUGAGAUACUAUGUCCGUUUUAUUUUUAUUUUAAUCACUUCUAAGAGGUGGUAGCUCUUCGUUAUUCGUACUUUUUGAUAAUCCCCUAACAUGGACAGAGCAAGAUUAUUCAAAAGCAGGUUUCAGUUCGUUUGAAAUGGAUAUUACAUUAACCCAUUAAAGACCAGUGGUGCAUUAAGAC
This is a long non-coding RNA of Bombus huntii, 8481 nucleotides long. RefSeq lists it as uncharacterized. NCBI's taxonomy places the organism in Eukaryota, Metazoa, Arthropoda, Insecta, Hymenoptera, Apidae. The transcript is spliced from 3 exons. The record is from RefSeq and is a predicted model, not a curated record.